Molecule: small RNA, 27 nt
Filed under: Bombyx mori (domestic silkworm)
Lineage: Eukaryota; Metazoa; Arthropoda; Insecta; Lepidoptera; Bombycidae
Description: ovarian small RNA-33796
Source: RNAcentral
UGCCGGGUCGGAAUGAGGUACACCGCC